UACUCGAGUGGCGAACGGGUGAGUAACACGUGGGUGAUCUGCCCUGCACUUCGGGAUAAGCCUGGGAAACGUGGGUCUAAUACCGGAUAGGAGCCAUUUUUAGUGUGAUGGUUGGAAAGUUUUUUCGGUGUAGGAUGAGCUCGCGGCCUAUCAGCUUGUUGGUGGGGUAAUGGCCUACCAAGGCGACGACGGGUAGCCGGCCUGAGAGGGUGUACGGCCACAUUGGGACUGAGACACGGCCCAG
This 244-nucleotide ribosomal RNA is filed under the name uncultured Actinomycetales bacterium. Its description in RNAcentral is "partial 16S ribosomal RNA". It matches the Rfam family "Bacterial small subunit ribosomal RNA", at positions 88 to 334 of the family's 1533-position model. The record is from RNAcentral. Lineage: Bacteria; Bacillati; Actinomycetota; Actinomycetes; Actinomycetales.